GGUAUGUAACAAUAUAACAAUACUACAUUGUUGUUACUAGUGUAAUAAUAGCAUAACCACACAUAUCUACCUAGCUAUACAUGUCUACUUUGAUAACAAGGUUGCCAAGAAAAUUUAAUAAUUAUUUCCUUUUCAAAUGUGAUAAAAGUAGCCCUUUGCAAUGCACCCUUCUAUCUUAUAGUGCAUCCAGCGUUGUAUCUCCUCUCUUUCUAGGUGCCUUCACACAAAGCCCUCUUUUCACUUCUCAAACAAGUUCAGGCUAGCUUUGUAAUGGGCAAUCGCCAUGAAAAGCCAGAGUCAGUCAGACAGGAAGAGACCAUACAAUAAUUGAAAUAUGCAGUACUACAAUACCCUUGUAUAACACUAUUGACAUGUAAGGGCCCAUAGAAACUAAAUGAAUACAUUUUAGCAGAGUUGGGUUGCCAGACGCUGUCCGUCCGUCCGUCCGUCUGUCUUUCUUCCAAUUUUGCUAUGUUCAGGUCAAUUGAGCAGCUUGGUUUUAGAAGAGUGACUGACAGACAAGCAGCGUAACCUCUCAGUCAUCUCAGGAAACGUCAUACCCAGGGGCUGCACAGCUUUUACUUCCAUUAGUCUUCAUUUCAGGAUCGCACAGGGCUUUGACGUCCACUAAAAGAAGGCUGUGUGCAAACAUACGUCCUUCUUCAUGAAGAAAAAACAAGGAUUACUUUAGGAUGACACAAUGAAAGUUAUUUAGAGGGGCGGUUUAUUUUGGGUGACCUUCAAUAUUGACUAAAAAGAGACCAAAAUAAGGACAAUGACCCAACACACCUCCAGGCUGUGUUAGGGCUAUUUGACCAAGAAGGAGAGUGAUGGAGUGCUGCAUCAGAUGUCCUGGCCUCCACAAUCCCACGAGCUCAACCAAGUUGAGAUGGUUUUGGACGAGUUGGACCGCAGAGUGAAGGAAAAGCAGCCAACAAGUGCUCAGGAUAUGUGGGAACUCCUUCAAGACUUUUGGAAAAGCAUUCUAGGUGAAGCUGGUUAAGAGAAUGCUAAGAGUGUGCAAAGCUGUCAUCAAGGCAAAGGGUGGCUACUUUGAAUAAUCUCAAAUAUAAAAUAUUUGUUUAACACUUUUUAGGUUACU
Molecule: long non-coding RNA, 1102 nt
Filed under: Salmo salar (Atlantic salmon)
Lineage: Eukaryota; Metazoa; Chordata; Actinopteri; Salmoniformes; Salmonidae
Description: lncRNA (ENSSSAG00000100126.1)
Source: RNAcentral